GACAGAGGUGCCAAGCGUUAGGCGGAAUCACUGGGCUUAAAGCGUGUGUAGGUGGAUUUGUAAGUACCUUGUGAAAUCCCAUGGCUCAACCAUGGAACUGCUCGGUAUACUGCGAAUCUUGAGCCACUUAGGGGCUACCGGAACAAGCGGUGGAGCGGUGAAAUGCGUAGAUAUCGCUUGGAACGCCAACGGUGAAAACAGGUUGCUGGGGGUGUGCUGACGCUGAGACACGAAAGCCAGGGGAGCGAACGGG
RNAcentral lists this ribosomal RNA (253 nucleotides) under uncultured bacterium. RNAcentral's name for it is "partial 16S ribosomal RNA". It matches the Rfam family "Bacterial small subunit ribosomal RNA", at positions 524 to 776 of the family's 1533-position model. The record is from RNAcentral.